UUAUUAUUAUUAUUAUUAUUAUUAAUUUUUGGCUUUUUUCGAGACAGAGUUUCUAUGUAUAAUAGCUCUGGCUGUCCAGAAACUCACUUUGUAGACCAGGCUGGCCUCAAACUCAGAGAUCCACCUGCCUCUGCCUCCCAAGUGCUAGGAUUAAAGGUGUAGACCAUUACUGCCUGUCUUCCUUAUUAUUUUUAUGUGAACAAAUGUUUGCUUGCAUGUAUGCAAGUAUACCACAUUCAUGCAGUGCCUAAGUAGGCCAGAAGAGGGCAUCAGAGCCCCUACAACUGGUGUUACAAAAAGUUAUGAGUCCCAUAUGGGUGCUGGGAACCAAACCCAAGUUCUCUGCCACAGGAGCAAGUGCUACUACUGACUGCCAGGGCACCUCUCCAGCCCCUUCAUCUUAAUUUUUGAGACAGGUUCUCUCACUGAACCUGGAGCUCAUCAUUUUGGCUAGACUGACUGGCCAGGGAGCCCUGGAAUUCCCUUCUCUAUUCCUAGCCCUGUGGUUAGACAUGCCCUGCCAUACCUCUGUUUUAAAUUGGGUGAUAGAAAAAUGAACUCAGGUCCUCAUGGUUUCAUGGCAAAUGUUUAAUUUACCAAGUCACCUCCCCAGCCUUCACUUUUUAAAAAGUGAAAUUAAAGUUAUCAACUCAAAUGGCAAGUUUUAAAAGCAAAUACAUUCUAACAUAAUACAAUCCAAAGAUUUACUAAUUUGAUACAUAUUUGGUAAGAAAUGAUGAAAGAAAAGUAUUAAAAGUCUUUGCUUCCCAUAAUUAAACCAUUAUGUUUCUAAAGAGCAGAAAACUAUCUGUACAGUUAAAAAAAACCAUUGUCAUUCCUAGCAUGUAAUAAUCCCAAACCUUCCAUUAUACUCUCAGCUGCACUCAGAGUUUCAGGCAUCGCCUUCUGCGGGUGCCUCACAGGGAAUGUACUUCUUGUGGCUACACAUAUUUAGCUUUUCACGAUUCCCUCUGAAAUCUAGGUAGAAGUCUGUGAAAAGCUCAAGUUCAGUUUGUAUAGACCACCCCCCAUCCCCCCACUCCCACCCCCCACCCCGGCCAUGUACUCCCAAGUUGAUGCUCCUCAACUAGAAACUGCAUAGCAAAUACUUCCUGGGAUAGGGCAGACUUCCCAUCCAAUGCCAGACCCUAAUUAAACUUUCAUUUUCUAGACUUCUCUGCAGCCUCUAAACUCAGGGAGGUGGUCAUCCCCCUUCCCUGCAAGCAGUGUGCAUCUCUUUCCCUGUCUGCUGUCCUGGCAUUCCUGGGAAGAAUAUUUCAGCAAAGGUCACAGAUCUUCUUAUGCUAAGGGACAAUGCAGAGCACAAGGGAAUGCUGAAGAGUUGACUGUGACAUCUGCAUCUAGAGCUAAGCCUAAAGCAUCUCUGGCUCCACAGUCAUGUCUGUGCCUUGCUGCUGAAUUCAGAAGGGUUGCACUUCCUCAGAUUUGGUGCAUACCCAAGUCUUUCCAGAGACUCGAUUUUCAAUGUUCCUCUGCCUAGCACUAGUGCUGUCCACCUUCAGUGUUCUGAGCUUCUCUACAUAAGUAUGGAAAGCCUCCUGACCCUGGCAUAGUAGACCAAGGCCAACUGGCAGAUAGAAGACUGGCUUGAAUCUCCCAUUUCCACUCCUCUUCCUGAGCACUCUGAACACCAGGUUAUAUGUGAAGGCGAUUCUCUCAUCAUCCUGAAAUUCCUAAUUACCUACGGUAAAAAAUACUGACAGGAGAUCUGAAUCCAAUGGCUCACCCGGUUUUUUUGAAUGGCGCUUUAGUGAAUACACAUUUGUAAACACACACAUACCCUGUGUGACGGUAGAAAGGAGAUUGUGUGUGCAGGAAAGGGUCUAAACGGAGAAGGAAAAAAGAAAUACAAAUGUGAAAGCAGAAGCAGACUAUUGGAGGAGAGUGGAAUAAGGAUGGAUGAUGAGCGGGUAGAUAUUAUCAAGGCACACCCUGGAAGUGAACAAGAAUCAUCAGCACUUACUACUGCUCUGUGCCAGGAAACUGUGCAUUUCAUGUGCUCUAUAACAUCUACUCCUCAAACCACAUGAGGGAGAGACUAUCACUUACAAAUGAAGUUAAGGCACAGAGAGGUCAAGAAACUUUCCCAAGGCCACACAGCUUCUUGGUCGCAGUGCUGUGAUUCAAACAAUGGUCUAAAGAAGCAUGGUGUCCACAGAUGCCUUCCAAACAAUGGUCAACGACAAGUUCAGCAAUCCCAUAAUACUGUCUGCUAAUACAUUCUCCUUUCAGUCUACAAUUUGGUAGAAGUCCAUCAUCCUUUGUCUUAGACUGUUACUGGGUUAACAUGAUCUGAAAUCCAGAAUUUUCCAGUAUUAGAGAAAUAAUAGUUUUGCCCUGAUAGGCUGUGGGCAGCACCUGACUCAAACCCUCAGUAGUGACAAUGACGCAGCAGUGUCUUCAGUACCCAAGACAAAGCCAUUUAACACUCACACACGCAGGUCCCAUUUUUUUGGAUUAAACUUAGAAGAAAUGUGUUUCUUGGAAGUUUUAAGCUCUGUUUACUUCAGACAAGAGCAAAUGGACCUGAGACCCAACCCAGGCAGAAACCAAGUCGUUCACAAACUUUCUAUGCUCAAGUCACUGUUUUCAUUCCUGAAUGGUAUUAGAUCUUCUAAAAGGCUUCCAGUGACCAAGCAAUCUUGGGCCCAAUACAAGCUACACGGCAAUUCUGGGAACUGCUCUAAAAACCACACCAGCCAGCAUGGCACAGAGCCGCUGCUGAUGGUGCAGCAGGGGCAUCAGAGACAGUCCUGCCCAGGAGUGGAUGGCAGGAGCCAAGAGCUACACCGUCCUUGUUUCAAAGUGGCCCCAGGAUCUGCCCAGGAAAAGCAGAGCUGAGGGGUGCAUGGCGCCUGGUUUGCAUAGACACUGGAGGUAACAGACAGAGACUCUGCCCUUACCAGUUCCACGGGAAUGCAUCCUGCCCCAAGACCAGUCACAGAAAGAGGCUAAAACACCAGCUUUGCCCUUGUCACCUCGUUAGCUAGGGUGAUGGCUGACAUGACUGCCUUUCCAUAACAUAUAAAGCUAACAGACAGAAAACCACACAGUAAUUGCAUAGUACCUUUUCUGCGUGGUCACAACAACUGUAGUCUUUGCAGACACUAAUGUUUGGGAACUUUUAGGCUUUUUCCAAGAAAAUGGCUCACGCACAGCUAUUAAUGCCUCUUCACCACUCACGACAUUCACUUCAAGAUGUCGCCCAAUAAGAAAGUUGGAGAAACACAGCAGAAGGAGCUCCUUGCAACGGCCAGGGUUUCUUGAAAAAAAAAAAAGAAGAAGAAGAAAUUUAGUCUUAGUUAUGAAUGAGGCAGAAUCAAUCUGAUUUCCCUUUCAGUAUUUAAGGAAGUUGUAAAGCUGUAGUAAGUAUCAGCCAAGCUGACUUCUUAGUAAUUUUUUUCUAACACAGGAAAGUUUACUUUAUAAAGCAAGAAAUACAGUAUUUUCCAAGUGUGAUGGUUAAUCCCAACUGUCAGUGUGGUUAAGGUCUAUAAUCACUACAGAGAUAGCCCUCUGGGUAUGCCUAUAGACACUGUUGGUUAGAUGAACUGAGGUAGGAAAACUUGCUGACUGUGUCUCCAUUUCCUGGGAUGAGAUUGUGAAGCAUAUGAAAAGGAGAAGCAAGCUGAGCAGAGGCCUCGCUGCUCUCUGUUUUGUGCAUGCAAUGUUCUUCUGCCAUGAUG
Molecule: long non-coding RNA, 3707 nt
Organism: Peromyscus californicus insignis
Lineage: Eukaryota; Metazoa; Chordata; Mammalia; Rodentia; Cricetidae
Exons: 3
Source: RefSeq, a predicted model, not a curated record